GCUCAACCUUCCUGUUCUACACCUGAGUUCAAGCUCUGGGGUCUUGACCCUCUUAAAAAAAGAAACACUCGAGCUGCAUGCCUUCGUCCACCAGGCCUCCGUUGACUCGUCCCGCCUGCCGUCUCUGGAGCUGAAGCUGGAUUGGAACAGACCAAAGUACAGUCCAAUCACGAUGCCAGCUGCCUCUCAAAAGGCUCCUUCAUCUGGCAGGUGGCAGCACUUCUUCUGAGGGGAAGCUGAGCUGGCCCGACAGAACUUUGGAGAUGUGUUCCAGUGGUUGGUGGAUGUGUG
Amphiprion ocellaris (clown anemonefish) is the source of this 291-nucleotide long non-coding RNA. Lineage: Eukaryota; Metazoa; Chordata; Actinopteri; Pomacentridae. The record is from Ensembl.